Molecule: unclassified non-coding RNA, 253 nt
Filed under: uncultured Euzebyales bacterium
Lineage: Bacteria; Bacillati; Actinomycetota; Nitriliruptoria; Euzebyales
Description: contains 16S-23S intergenic spacer region
Rfam family: Bacterial small subunit ribosomal RNA
Source: RNAcentral
UACGUAGGUGGCGAGCGUUGUCCGGAAUUAUUGGGCGUAAAGAGCUCGUAGGCGGUCCAUUAAGUCGGAAGUGAAAUCUCAGGGCUCAACCCUGAACUUGCUUCCGAUACUGGUGGACUUGAGGUAGGUAGGGGAAGGUGGAAUUCCUGGUGUAGCGGUGAAAUGCGCAGAUAUCAGGAGGAACACCAGUGGCGAAGGCGGCCUUCUGGGCCUUACCUGACGCUGAGGAGCGAAAGCGUGGGGAGCGAACAGG